AAGUCGUAACAAGGUUUCCGUAGGUGAACCUGCGGAAGGAUCAUUACUAAUAUCAUCCACACACACACACUGUGCAACGAGAUGUUUGUGGCUUUGGUGAAGCGUCAUUGCUUUACGGGCCGCCCUUCUUACUGAACAAACACUAGCUAAAAGUCUUACACACAACCAAGAACCUAAACAACUUUUAACAAUGGAUCUCUUGGCUCCU
This 208-nucleotide unclassified non-coding RNA is filed under the name fungal sp. RNAcentral describes it as "partial internal transcribed spacer region". The stretch from base 1 to 46 matches the Rfam family "Eukaryotic small subunit ribosomal RNA", at positions 1786 to 1831 of the family's 1831-position model. RNAcentral also lists the same sequence under 1 other name. The record is from RNAcentral. Lineage: Eukaryota; Fungi.